GCUUGUUGUACGUUGUUCAAAUGUUUCAACGUAUGUACAUUUGUGACUACGAUUUCUUGUUAGCGAUAUAAACGAAGAGGAUAAAGACUUUGGAGUAAAUAAUUUUGGCCGUGCCACUAGCAUAAUGUAUUUGUGCGUCUAGGUAUCCUUAGCGUUGCAAGUGGAAAGUGGCUUCACACUAUAAAUGGUUGACACAGCUAAUACAUUAGACAUAAACUUUCUCAGCAUUCACGAACAGUAAAAAUACUAUUGGUAAAUGAUUCAUGGAUAUAUAGUAUUAGUAUUUGGCAUUCGUUUCGCUUAUGAAUUGUGAUUGAACCGAUAUCGUAUCAUCAUUAAAAGUUUCCUGUACAUCUUCUACAUCAUUCAAACAUGUGGAAGAAUCAUAAAUUUCACAAAAAUAAUGUCUCAAUCGCAUACGUAUUGUCUGCUCUGACUUGGCUUGUCUUCUGUAUGUGAUCCAAAUAGACGAGAAUGUCAAUCCAUCAUGUACGACCAAUCACACUUCCUAUAGCUGAAACCGAGUGCAAAUGCUUUUGUAGCAAUCAUGAUCUGUGCCUUUCCAAGUUAGGGGUUCCAAGACUCGUCAAAGUGAAUUUUUCAUUCUUCUUCAUUUAAAUCUCUCGUGUAAAUGGUUAUCAAGAUGUGAUGAGAGAACAAGUCAGGGNGGUCGAAAAGGAUGCUUAAUUAAUGUACGGNGAACGUUUCAUGGUUAUUCAUUGAAUCACCUUUCCAAGNCUAUNAUUUUGNUUUUAUCNACAUUCGAAAAUUCAGGGAAAGCUUAAUCUCNUCUAAAAUACAUGCAGAAANAAAAAANGGNUUCCC
Molecule: small RNA, 825 nt
Filed under: Schizosaccharomyces pombe (fission yeast)
Lineage: Eukaryota; Fungi; Ascomycota; Schizosaccharomycetes; Schizosaccharomycetales; Schizosaccharomycetaceae
Description: small heterochromatic RNA precursor
Source: RNAcentral